GUGAGGGACGACGGAGUCCCAGUGCAAAAUUCCGUGAAAGAGGUGAGCCUCGUGCCAGAAGCCCGUUGAAAGGCUGUCUACAUCGUUUUAAACUGUGUGAUUGUGAGGGUGAGUGGGAA
Xiphophorus hellerii (green swordtail) is the source of this 119-nucleotide long non-coding RNA. RefSeq lists it as uncharacterized. NCBI's taxonomy places the organism in Eukaryota, Metazoa, Chordata, Actinopteri, Cyprinodontiformes, Poeciliidae. The record is from RefSeq and is a predicted model, not a curated record. The transcript is spliced from 2 exons.